RNAcentral lists this ribosomal RNA (3099 nucleotides) under Triticum aestivum (bread wheat). Its description in RNAcentral is "partial small subunit ribosomal RNA". Lineage: Eukaryota; Viridiplantae; Streptophyta; Magnoliopsida; Poales; Poaceae. The record is from RNAcentral.
GUCAACAUUAUGCUAUAUUUACAUGAGAAAUUCAUGACCAUAGAUCAAUCACCAGCAAUUAAUCUCAUCAAUAAAUCUCUGUUUCAACAUGUACAUCUGUAGAAACCAAAGAGUGAAAUUCAGAUCAAUAACAUGUACUCCCUCCGUUCUUAAAUACUUGUCUUUCUAGGGAUUUCAACAAGUGACUACAUACUACACAAAAUGAGUAAAUCUACACUUUAAAAUAUGUCUACAUACAUCCAUAUAUUGAGUCUAUUUGAAAUGACAAGUAUUUGGGAACGGAGGGAGUACAAUUCACCAGGUACUGUUUCAAUGCUUCAAACACAGAGCAAGAACCCUCACUGACGGUGGAGUUUAGAUUGAUCAUCUAUUGCUACGGUCUCCGAACAUUAUAUAGAUAAUGAACAGGGCACCACGCAAGAACUGAUGGCUCAGCUGGGUAAAAGCAUUAGCUCUCACAUAAUAUGGGAGUCGUAGAAAGGAAAACAAAGAGUAAAAUAACAUAAUAAUACACAUUGGUGCUCAGAUUCUAUGGGUGUAUAGAUGUCGUUCAUAGGGAUUUUCCCAUCAGUACGAGGAAUGUUCUAUAAUCACUGCACCAAAAAAGGAUCAAUUCCAAAAAAUAAGAAAGAGAAGAGCUUAGAAUAUGGGGGCGAGCGUAACCCAACAUCCAUCUGUACGGAUUAGUGCUCUAAGCGCCACCUGAAUAAUCUCAGGAGCAUUGUAAACUCUGGAUGCAAGAACAUCAGCUAAAACAUUCAAACUGUGCACCCACAUAGAAAAAAAUCAAAUAAAAGAAAACAAAGCACAGGGACAUUAUUCAUAAGGCUCAGACAUCCAAGGAAGGAAUUAGCAGCAUUAGCUCUCAAGCCUGGCUGGGCGAAAGCUCUUAGGCGGCAUCUGCGAAUGUUUUGAGAAACAAGCCUUAUAUUUAUCUUCAUCGCCAUAUUCCCAAACUAACCAAAUCAUAUUGACAACUUAAAAGCCACUGGAAAAAUAAUUUAACCACAAUAACAAGCUCUAUAGAGUGACCAACUAAAAUACAGACACAGGUUACAAUUAACACACAAAAAAAAGAUCAAACAGAGAAUCCCUCAGAGACCCAUUUAAAAUCAUGCACACAGCAGAACCAAACCAGGUGCAAAUGGACAUUCCAGCCCUGCCCAAACCACAAAGGUUAUAGCCAAAGGAGGACACCUGCAGUGGUAAGAAACAGCUGUUGUUUACAGUGUCAUACGGCACUUCCUGGUCAAAGAAUCUUCACCGGGAUAAUUUAAGUUUGAUCAAAAUUAACACUAAUGAAAUAAAUAAAAGCAUUCGCCAUUGGUUUUGUGCCACAGAAAGCCGCAAAAAUAUCGUCAUUCAGAAUCAGACGGUAAUUCCAACAUAAAGCUGAUCAUCAUAGGCUUCAACUACUUUGCAGGUCUCUGGUGUAAUUGUAAAAGCAAAUACAUAAGAAAACAUGGCGUAUCAUCAGAAUAUAAAAGCCUUCUCAUCCACAGGAAAAUAGGCACUGUAUCAGAAGGUGUCCUAAGAUUGAAUAAGGUUUCAUCACAUGAUACCAACGAAAUCAUGCAGAACAUAAAUAAUUAAAACUAAUCUCUAAUGGAUUCAGUUGCAAAGAUGACAUCACACAGGCAGCUCAUGCCACCCCUCGGAUCAAGUGUUGGAUUAUGCAUCAAUACCUCCUCAUAAUCCAAAGAGAUAACCUAAAUUGAAAAGCAAAACAACAGCCAAAAAGAUCAAAGAAAGAUAUAGUUGCUCAGUAGUGGCAAUGUUUAAUUGGUUCGAUUCUGCCAGCAAUGUCGUCAAUGCUUUCAGAAGAGGGAGCUUGUUAUCCUCAUUGCAACUACACUCUCCAAAGGAAACAGACACUGACAAACAAUGAACGGCAGAUUAAAAAUAAAGGCUAUCAGAUGGCUCGGUUCAGCGGGAUAAUCGGCAUACAAAACAACUCCUGAGAGAAGACCUGUGAUUUGGUCUGUUGAGCUUGAAUAUUUGCAAAUCGUCACUGACAUCACCCAAGAAAAUCAAACCAACUAUUUGAGUUUCAUUUGCUGAGUCAGAUUUAAUAGUAUGUCAAUCAGCACAGAUCCACCUAAGCAGACCCUAAGACUGGGGCGACAAAUUUGAAAUCAUCAUCCUCACAACUACAGAGAUCUGCUAACGUAUGUACCUUUUGCUAUACAAAAUUAUUUAAGUCUAAAUGAUUUCAAUGGAUAAUGUGUAAAAAGAAGACUCGGAAUAUGGGUGGUGAUAUAGCAGGAUGGUCGGCAAGGCAAAUAAAUGCCAGUUACGACGAACGAGACCAAAUAUCAAUCUUCACUGUCCUCUACAACAAAUUCAUACAUGAGGAUACAAAGAUAUAACGAACAAACAAACAAACAAACACACAGAUUGUGCAAUUCUCGGGGAGAAGAUAAGGUUGUAAGGUCAUCAGAUAGGAGCGAAAGACUAUUUUUGUUCAAGUAAUCACGAUUUGAUCAUAUGAACUAUGCACUUGGGAUCAUCAUUCGACCUUCGCAAACCAAUAAUUUCAAGAGAAAAAAGCGACAAGAAAAAAUACAAAAGGAUUCAAGGGAUCGUGAUGCCUCAGAAGGAAGGCAGUAGGUUAUGUAAUCACUAGUGAUUCAUUGAGAAAGGUUCACACUAAUCAUCAGCAGCAGCACGAACCCACAAAAUCAACAUCAAAAAGGACAAAGGGAUGAGCAGCAUCAUUGGCCUCAUAGAGAAGAUUAGAUCGUUCCACAUGAAGAAACUUCGGACAUAUGCUUGUCAUAAUUAAUUUAAUCCUCGGCCAGCGAUAAGAAACGAGAAAUAAAACAAGAAGAGCAGCUGCAUGGGGACGGCGAUUCUAAUCGAGAAGAGGACUCGGAAUAUGGGUGGUGAUAUUGCAGGAUGGUCGGCAAGGCAAGGAGAUUGCCAGUUACGACGAACGAGACCAAAUAUCAAUCGUCACCGUCCUCAGGACAGAUGCAAGAUCCACACGGGAAGACCAAAACCGAAAACGGGUUGCAAAACAAGAAGGCAGAUCGAGAUAUGAUGGGUCAGAGGGUGAGGACGGGGGAAGAACCUGUUUGCUGGGAUGGAUGGGAGGUG